Molecule: transfer RNA, 71 nt
Filed under: Phrynosoma platyrhinos (Desert horned lizard)
Lineage: Eukaryota; Metazoa; Chordata; Lepidosauria; Squamata; Phrynosomatidae
Description: tRNA-OTHER
Source: RNAcentral
GCCAGCGUGGCAUAGUGGUUUGAGCACUGGACUAUGACUCUGGAGACCAGGAUUCGAAUCCCACUCAGCCA